Long non-coding RNA from Temnothorax curvispinosus, 578 nucleotides. RefSeq lists it as uncharacterized. Lineage: Eukaryota; Metazoa; Arthropoda; Insecta; Hymenoptera; Formicidae. The transcript is spliced from 3 exons. The record is from RefSeq and is a predicted model, not a curated record.
GAGCGAACGAGAGCGGAGCCAAUCACGAGCGUUCCGCAGCGUUGAGGAUUUAGCCUUAUGCCAGGGACGACACGGCCCUGUCGAAAGAUGAGUAGAGGGGAUACGCUGAUACGCACCAUAAGACGGUAUACGUCGUACGUGUGUGCUUGGUGGCCAUCUUUCGACAGGACUUGUAGAGGGAACUUCGUCUCCCAUCUCUGAGUGAUUCGGAUACGAAGUGAGUGUUUUCUACGAGUAUUGUGUACGCAAUAGAGAAAGAGCGAUUAUUAACUGGAAUUUUCAUCAAACGGGAGGCGAUCCUAAUAGAUCAGCUGGCGAGGGCCGCGAAGAGCCACGAGACAGAGCAUUGGGCUCCUUUCUUUUUAUGAAGCAAAGCAGUGUGAAAGAGGAAUCACUCGUCCCUUCGGAAGUGUAAUUUGUACAACUGAGCAGCGAAGCACUGUUUAUGUUAUGGAACCUCAAGGUCCUCAAGUCACACUCGUAGAAAAGGAUUUUAUGCCGACUGAAGAUGCCAACUUAAAUAGAAAUAAGGAAAACAUUUCAAACGACAAUGCAUUAAAGCAUAAAGCAGCGGAUGA